AUGGUAAUUCACUCUCAACCAAACGAAAGAGCAUAUUGAACCAGCGUACUUAGCAGAUGGUCCGGAAAUUAAUUGCCUUAUGUGUUAUUUCAGAGGUAAAAUGUCUGCAGUCUUCGAACCACAUCUACAGACAUCUAUAGCAGAAGAUGUGAAUCAAACCUCUGCAGUCUGCAAGAAGAAGACUGUUUGUUUUUUUAACUUCUACAAGCUGUCGAAAUAAACUGAAAUUAAACUGAUUUAUCAAAAUAGUUGGGUAACGAAAAUUAACGAUAAAUAUCUGAAUACAAUAUAAUAAAAUAUUCAAAUGUAAUACAAAGAUCUAAGUUAUCUCCGAUAUAAUUAGCCUUUCGAAAAAAUAUCUCUAAUACAAUUAAAUACUUAUCAAAAGGGAAUAAAAGUUUGAGUCUUCUUGAUUUCUUCUAAAUUGUAUCUCAAAAUCUCACGAUCUCUAACCAUCAUCCCCAUGUUCAUGUCUUGUCAUCUAUAACUGUGAAGACCGGCCAAUUCAGGUCACAUUGUCACGAAAGAUGGGUAGAGUUUUAUGAAAUGCAUCUGAACCGAUCAUCAUCCUCCGAUGUAUCGGCAAUACCACUGCCGAACACAAAAGCAUUGCAACAAGUUAUACAAACCAAAACUCAAACAAAUAUUAGAAAUAUUAGUUGAAACAUUUUGUCACACCCCAACCGAUGGCGGAAACAUCGGGGCGCGGCACUAGGCAAACCAGAUUGCUCAAGAGAUCCAUAACAACUAUUUGUUACCAAAAUUUUUAAAGGUUAAUUGUCCCACACCAAUCAACAAUUAUUCAACAAGUAAUUAUUACAAAUAACGAGUUUCUCUCAAACAAAACAAGUCCGACAACCUAGAUUUCUAUUAGAUGAGUUUCUAGACUGCCUAUCUUGAUUCCAGCAAACAAAUCCAUCAACCUAUCACAUACGUUAAAAUAAAGUCAAUACAUAAAAUGUAAAGGUGAGUACACAAGUAUGUAUAGUAUAUAGUUAAGAAAGUGUUUUUACGCAUAACCAGCAUGUAUCACGUAACGGGCGAAAGCAAGUAACUAUCACACAAUGAUUACAACUUAGCCACGAGACUACGUUGUAGAGUAUGCGCGACACAUGUUCAGCGAACACGUGAAGUAAAGUGAUGUGAUCCCUAGCAACCCCUGUCCACCACAGGUGCUGAGUCCAAACUAUAGUACUAUCGUUGCUAGAGGCGGUAUCGUGUAACACUGUAUAAGCAUAGUAACAAGCAUUCAUGGGCGAUUAGCGUUGUAAAGUGUUUGUGUUGUGUGUUGUGUUUUGAUAUAGAACGUAUGUAACACCCAA
Molecule: long non-coding RNA, 1322 nt
Filed under: Helianthus annuus (common sunflower)
Lineage: Eukaryota; Viridiplantae; Streptophyta; Magnoliopsida; Asterales; Asteraceae
Description: hypothetical non coding rna
Source: RNAcentral